AACUUUACCAGGAUUGUAUGGGGUCGAUGAGCAAUCAAGAAGGCCCAUGGCCUAGGCUAGCGACCUUUGUUGCACUUAGGAGAGGCGCUUUAGCCUGAGAUCUGCUCGACCAACAGAUCCUAUGUCGUAAGUCGUGGUAGGCAGGGCCUGCAUUCGUGCAGCCACCAA
Molecule: small nuclear RNA, 168 nt
Organism: Rhodamnia argentea
Lineage: Eukaryota; Viridiplantae; Streptophyta; Magnoliopsida; Myrtales; Myrtaceae
Product: U1 spliceosomal RNA
Exons: 1
Source: RefSeq, a predicted model, not a curated record